Molecule: long non-coding RNA, 578 nt
Organism: Triticum dicoccoides
Lineage: Eukaryota; Viridiplantae; Streptophyta; Magnoliopsida; Poales; Poaceae
Exons: 3
Source: RefSeq, a predicted model, not a curated record
UUGAGGUUGGUGCUGCAAACGGUGGGUCUGACCUGGCUCAGAUGGCCGGCGAAGAUGACAUGGCUGCCGCGCAAGAAGGUGCCCAGCAGCGCCGAGCUGCAUCUCCGACGAGGUCUGCUCAGUCAACCGACAGUGUGAAUCCAGAGGCCCCCGGCUGGACUAAAAGAAAAAUCUGGGUUCACCUAUGUGGUGCUCGCCGACAAAUCCAGUAAGGUGAUAAAUUGAAUACGGGAUAAUGGCAGCAGCCGCAUGCAGUACAAAUUCUUUGGGGAUGUCGUCACAUUCGACACCACAUACAUGACGAAUCUGUAUGACAUGCCAUCUGGAUUAUAUGUUGGAGUUAACAAUCACUACCGGAGCAUAAUCCUGGCGGGGUGUUGAUGUGCGAUGAACAAGAAGAAAGCUUUGAAUUGGUGUUUGCAGAAUUUUUGCGUAUGAUAGGCGGACCUGCCCCCAAAACAAUACUGACAGACCAAUGCAGGGUUAUGGACGUGGUGAUUAAGAAAACGGAUCCUGACACUGUCCACCGUUGGUGCAAGUGGCAUGUCCUGAAGAAGGCGAAGGAAACACUGGUACCA